ACACAUGCAGUCGAACGAGAGAUCGCGCCUUCGGGUGGGAGAGUAAAGUGGCGCACGGGUGAGUAACGCGUGGGUAACCUGCCCCUGAAUUCGGGAGUACUCCGCGAAAGCGGUGCUAAUACCGAAUGUCGUCACAGGGACCGUGGUCCCUGGGAUGAAAGGUGACCUCUCCAUGGAAGUUGCCGUUCGGGGAGGGGCUCGCGUACCAUUAGCUUGUUGGUGGGGUAAUGGCCUACCAAGGCUACGAUGGUUAGCUGGUCUGAGAGGAUGAUCAGCCACACUGGCACUGAAACACGGGCCAGACUCCUACGGGAGGCAGCAGUGAGGAAUUUUGCGCAAUGGGGGAAACCCUGACGCAGCAACGCCGCGUGAGUGAAGAAGGCUUUCGGGUCGUAAAGCUCUGUCAAGUGGGAAAAACGUCUUCCCGUUAACAGCGGGAAGGCCUGAUGGUACCACUGGAGGAAGCACCGGCUAACUCCGUGCCAGCAGCCGCGGUAAUACGGAGGGUGCAAGCGUUGUUCGGAAUUACUGGGCGUAAAGAGCGUGUAGGCGGCAAGGUAAGUCAGGCGUGAAAGCCCUGGGCUUAACCCGGGAAGUGCGUUUGAAACUGCCUCGCUCGAGUAUGGGAGAGGAGAGUGGAAUUCCCGGUGUAGAGGUGAAAUUCGUAGGUAUCGGGAGGAACACCCGUGGCGAAGGCGACUCUCUGGACCAAUACUGACGCUGAGACGCGAAAGCG
Molecule: ribosomal RNA, 736 nt
Filed under: uncultured organism
Description: bacterial SSU rRNA
Rfam family: Bacterial small subunit ribosomal RNA
Source: RNAcentral